This 245-nucleotide ribosomal RNA is filed under the name uncultured bacterium. RNAcentral's name for it is "partial 16S ribosomal RNA". It matches the Rfam family "Bacterial small subunit ribosomal RNA", at positions 524 to 768 of the family's 1533-position model. The record is from RNAcentral.
AACGUAGGAGGCGAGCGUUAUCCGGAUUUACUGGGCGUAAAGCGCACGCAGGCGGCUUCGCAAGUCGGAUGUGAAAGCUCCUGGCUUAACUGGGAGAGGCCAUUCGAUACUGCGGGGCUUGAGAUUGGGAGAGGGGUAUGGAAUUCCCGGUGUAGUGGUGGAAUGCGUAGAUAUCGGGAGGAACACCAGUGGCGAAAGCGGUACCCUGGCCCACACCUGACGCUAAUGUGCGAAAGCGUGGGUAG